GAUGAACGCUGGCGGCGUGCCUAAUACAUGCAAGUCGAACGAACAGACGCGGCGCUUGUUCCUUUGUCGUUUGGCGCGGGGGGGGGAGAAACACGUGGAACACCCACCUAUCAGAGUGGGAUAAACUCGGGAAACCGGAGCUUAUCCCGGAUAAUAUCUUGCAACGCCUUGGUCAAUAGUAAAAGACGGCUUUUGUGUCUCUUCUAGAUGGAUCCGCGCCGCAUUAGCUAGUUGGUAAGGUAACGGGUUACCAAGGGAACGAUGCGUAGCCGACCUGAGAGGGUGAUCGGCCACACUGGAACUGAGACACGGUCCAGACUCCUACGGGAGGCAGCAGUAGGGAAUCUUCCGCAAUGGGCGAAAGCCUGACGGAGCAACGCCGCGUGAGUGAUGAAGGUCUUCGGAUCGUAAAACUCUGUUAUUAGGGAAGAACAAAUGUGUAAGUAACUAUGCACGUCUUGACGGUACCUAAUCAGAAAGCCACGGCUAACUACGUG
RNAcentral lists this ribosomal RNA (497 nucleotides) under uncultured bacterium. RNAcentral's name for it is "partial 16S ribosomal RNA". It matches the Rfam family "Bacterial small subunit ribosomal RNA", at positions 28 to 507 of the family's 1533-position model. The record is from RNAcentral.